Molecule: ribosomal RNA, 783 nt
Filed under: Triticum aestivum (bread wheat)
Lineage: Eukaryota; Viridiplantae; Streptophyta; Magnoliopsida; Poales; Poaceae
Description: partial small subunit ribosomal RNA
Source: RNAcentral
AUGGGCCCUCUUGUGGUAGACCCACAUGUCAUCGGUGUAACUAUUUACACUCCGAAGGACGCUCACACGUACCAUAUCCCCCCGCUCACUGCUCGGCCACACAAGGAGAAGCUUCUUCGCUCACCCGCCAGAAUCCACUUCCCCUCUGGCUCCAGACACAAAUGCGCUGGCCUUCAUGAUUCUAGGACCUGGAAUCAUACCAGCCGAUGGGAUUGGCCGGUGCUGCCGGCUGGCAUCAAGUUCGAUCCCACGAACGAGCACCUUGAGGCCAAAGUGAGUGCUGACAGCGCGAGAUCUCACCCUCUCAUCGAUUUGUUCAUACGAACCAUCGACAGCGAGCAUGGCAUAUACUACACCCAACCUGAGAAACUUCCAGGUAUCACACAGAGUGGCCUAAGGAAGCAUAUCUUCCAACGCAAUUCGAAGGCGUUCAAAAGGGGCACGUGGACGCGUCGCAAGAUACAGUCGGAGUGCGGCAUGCACGCGAUGUGGCACAAGACUAGCAAUACCUUGUCGGUGAUGGUCAACAGCUGGCAGACGGGCAACACAAAGGUUCUAGUGCUGCACACCAACAAGAACUUUGACCAGCAGAGGACCAACCGGGUGAUGCACCAGUACCACCUCGGGGGCCUGGACCAAGAGAAGGAGUGGGAGCUGGUCCUCUGCAAGAUUUUGUACCAGACGAACACUAGGGCCAGGAGUAAAAAGAUUGCCCAGCCAAUGACAACAAUGAGGCACAAAGAUCCAGCAGGUAUCUACUGGCCUCUGACCCGCCAGCGUUAG